AAGGCACCUCACUUACCUGGGGCAGUUUUGUAGCAUGUUCUGGAGGGCAGCGAUGGGGCAUUCUUUGUCCUGGGGCUCUGUGUACUCUGCAAGACUUGUCUCUGCCUCUUCAGCUCCUCUUCCCUUUCCUGAGCUGCUCGGAUCUCUUCCUCAAUCAUGGACAAAGUCCGCUGUUUCCUGGACCUCAGCUUGAAAGGCCCAACCAUCACGUCAGAUUCUUGAGUGGCCAGGAGGGAGGCUGUGCUUCUCAGCUCAGCUGCCUCCGAGUACUUGCUGAAAUAGCUUCCUUCGGGCCUGGUCUCCUCCAUGUUAAUCGGGCCACUGGGCUGCACAGCUGGCAGUGGCUGGGGGGGCCCCCUUUCCCUGAGCGCCCUGUCUUCAGCAGGCAGAAUCUUUGGUAAUACAUCCCUUUUCUCUUGAACAGGAGAAGACACCUGAGGUGGCUCAAACAUGCUCUGAGGCUUUUCUGAGCCGAACGCCCCAGCUUCAGCUUCCUCUACAGUCGCUUCAGGUCCCUGUUGCUCUGCUCCAUCCCUGCUGGUUUUGGACACAGCUUUAUCCACCUGCUCGGCUAUGGCUUGUUGAAUGGCAUUCUGCACCAGGAGGCCAGCCUGAUACUCCAAGGGAUCAUCAACCGACGGAGAGUCCCCCAGCGUGGAGGAAGGGGAAUAGAAACCAUGAUCACUAAAUGACUUGGAGACGCCUUCUCCUCGGCCCUCUGAGGGGUUGUCAGUUUGUGGCGUCUGGGGCAGAGAAAAAUCAGCCAGUGAAUUUUCCUGGAGGGCAUUGGUUGUCUCAUUGGAUGCCCCGCUGUCACUGAUGUUGUCCAUGCUGAAAUCAUUGGAUAGGGUCUCCAGGACUGUGGUAUCCUGAGACCUCACCGACAAUUCAUCCAGACCAGAGUCAAGCUCCUCUUGGGUCAAGGAGACAUUGACAGAUCUUGAGAACUGAUCCAAAAUCCCAUGGUCAUCAUCCUUGACCACGGUGAGGACGGCCCGGGCGCUCGUAAACUCUCCAUCCUCAGCCCACAGUUUAGAUAAGGGCCCACGUUUAGAAGGCUCGCUGUAGGGCCCUUCCUUCCCCUGAGGGGCUGUGUUGCCCUGGCUUCCUGCUGCCGAUGGGGUCUCCAGGGCACUGGGGGAUUUCUGUCCCUUGGCGGCUGAGGCACCACUGUCUUCUGGAGGUCCCCCGACAGAAGGUGGUCUCGGAUUAGUCAGUGGCUUGUCUGAGUUGACUGACCCCAGAGGCCUGUAGAAAGGCUUGAUGGAGAACAGCCUGGGUGUACUCUGGCCCUUGGCCACCGCUUGCCUGGAAUUCUCCAUCAGCUGAAAUUGUUUGCGAGCAGCAGAGAAAUCUAUCUGCUCUGUGACAAUGUCCUCCUUUGCUUUGUCAAUCAUGCUUGCGCGUUCAUGAGAAGAGGCAGGGGCUGUGCAGAGCUGCGAUGGGGGCUGCUGCUGCUGCUGCUGUAACUGCUGCUGCAGCAGCAACUGUUCCUGCUGUGCCCUUCUCUCCUUGCGCUCCUUGUACUUUUUGUGCGACUCCAGAUGUUCCUCGUCCAGCUGCUCCUCGAUGGUUUUUUCCUGCGGGGGAUUCCACCAUUUUGCUGCAAUGCCAGGAUUCUUCUAGACGGCCUGGCUGCGGAUGAGUUCUCUCCUCUCCUUUCCAGCUCCAGAAUCCACCCUGAAGGCCUCACUUUUCUAAUGCAGUAUUGUUCUUUCUCAUGCUCGUCAUCCUCAAAGAGCUUGGAGGGCUUCUUGUCCUCAUGGAAGGCACGCAGCUCAAACUUGGCCUCCUUUUUCAGUGUGGUGAGAGUGAACUCUCCAUCUCGGGAAGAACACCGUGAGCUGGUUGUGGAGCUGGGGCUGACAGGCGCCUGCAGGCUGUCCCCCAGCGCAUCUCUAGGCUGGCUGGGGGAAUGGCCAUUUGUUCUUUCUGCCUCUGCCAUGGGGUCAGGGCUGCUAUUACUGAGCUCGAUGUGAGGAGGUGCCUGCCGGCUAGCUGUUCUUUCAGUGGGUUCUGGCUGGGUCGCCUCGUGGACAGGGGGGCUUAGGCCGCCCACCAGAACCACUGCACCAGGCUCUGGGGAGGAUGUUCCAUUGUACGUUCCAUCCACAGCAGAAUCACAGCAGUUGGCCUCUAGCACCUCAUCUAGAUAGCGGAUCUCUCUGGCGACAUCAUUAUCCAGGGAUUCGUGGUGAUCAGUAAGGAGGCCAUUAUGGGGGGGUGAAUAGAAAGCGGAGGGGUGGUCCAUGGGAUGUGGGGUAGAGGUGAUUCCAGGAACACUUUUACAUUCUGCAACAGACACCUCAAUUUCCAUGUUUUUGUGAUCUGGGGAAAGAGAGCUGGCAGCAGGCUCCAGGAGGGUGGCACUAUAGUUGUCUCCCUCGCUUUUUAGCCAGAUAUCAUCCUCAGAAAGCUGG
This 2420-nucleotide long non-coding RNA is filed under the name Pan troglodytes (chimpanzee). RNAcentral's name for it is "long non-coding RNA NONPTRT017922". Lineage: Eukaryota; Metazoa; Chordata; Mammalia; Primates; Hominidae. The record is from RNAcentral.